RNAcentral lists this ribosomal RNA (139 nucleotides) under uncultured bacterium. Its description in RNAcentral is "partial 16S rRNA". It matches the Rfam family "Bacterial small subunit ribosomal RNA", at positions 357 to 511 of the family's 1533-position model. The record is from RNAcentral.
AGGAAUUUUCCGCAAUGGGCGAAAGCCUGACGGAGCAAUGCCGCGUGGAGGUGGAAGGCCUACGGGUCGUCAACUUCUUUUCUCGGAGAAGAAACAAUGACGGUAUCUGAGGAAUAAGCAUCGGCUAACUCUGUGCCAG